UAGGGGGCAAGCGUUAUCCGGAUUUACUGGGUGUAAAGGGAGCGUAGACGGCAGCGCAAGUCUGAAGUGAAAUGCCGGGGCUUAACCCCGGAACUGCUUUGGAAACUGUGCAGCUAGAGGGCAGGAGAGGUAAGUGGAAUUCCUAGUGUAGCGGUGAAAUGCGUAGAUAUUAGGAGGAACACCAGUGGCGAAGGCGGCUUACUGGACUGUAACUGACGCUGAGGCACGAAAGCGUGGGUAUCGAA
This 245-nucleotide ribosomal RNA is filed under the name uncultured bacterium. RNAcentral's name for it is "partial 16S ribosomal RNA". It matches the Rfam family "Bacterial small subunit ribosomal RNA", at positions 528 to 772 of the family's 1533-position model. The record is from RNAcentral.